Molecule: ribosomal RNA, 451 nt
Filed under: uncultured bacterium
Lineage: Bacteria
Description: partial 16S ribosomal RNA
Rfam family: Bacterial small subunit ribosomal RNA
Source: RNAcentral
AGCGAACGCUGGCGGCAGACUUAACACAUGCAAGUCGAGCGGGCGCAGCAAUGCGUCAGCGGCAGACGGGAGAGUAACACGUGGGAACGCGCCCUUCGGUUCGGAAUAACUCAGGGAGACUUGAGCUAAUACCGGAUACGCCCUAACGGGGAAAGAUUUAUCGCCGAAGGAACGGCCCGCGUCCGAUUAGGUAGUUGGUGGGGUAACGGCCUACCAAGCCUACGAUCGGUAGCUGGUCUGAGAGGAUGAUCAGCCACACUGGGACUGAGACACGGCCCAGACUCCUACGGGAGGCAGCAGUGGGGAAUAUUGGACAAUGGGCGCAAGCCUGAUCCAGCAAUGCCGCGUGGAUGAUGAAGGCCUUAGGGUUGUAAAGUCCUUUCGGCGGGGACGAUGAUGACGGUACCCGCAGAAGAAGCCCCGGCUAACUUCGUGCCAGCCGCCGCCGUAA